GGGCACAAGAUGGACACAGGAUGUUCCCCAAUCAAGGCUGCUCGGUGGGUUUCAGAAAUGGGAACACCCGUCCCUUCAAGCAUCCAUAGCGUGUGAACUGUAGGACUGUAGGGUGAAGGUCAUCCCAGAGCUCAGCAUUGAAACCAGCCGGAAAUUGUUCAGUUGGGGGAACUAGGGGAAAGGGAACAGUGAUGUGAAGGGCAGAGGCAGUGGUGGGAAGCCUGUGUGUGGCCGACGCAUGCUUUUACGCUGUCAUCACGGCCUUGCUUUCUAUAGCAGGGAUCUGAGAAGCAGGCAGGCAGCUGCUCUGCCUGAGACUGUCAGGAGUUGGUGGAUAUGAAUCCAUGUCUGAAGCCCAAGCUCUCGCUACUCUGCUGUCUCCCUGAGGGGUGCAUGAAGGCCCCAGCCCAGUCAGUGACACAGAGGUUGGGAAGACCAGGGCAUGAAGCUUCUGUGCUUGGAGAACAGGAGGGCUUGUGGAGCUGUGGUUGAUGGCAUGUCCAGGAAGCCUGGCCAGGCUGGGGUCUGGCAACAGCCUCACCACGAUGGCAUGGCGGUGGGCCCGGCCUCUACCCGCUGCGCCACAGCUCCUGGCUCCUGGCUCCAGGUCAUCUCUGCCCACAGCCAGCGUCUCUGCAAGCCUGCUCUAGAAGAUCUCUCUGCAGUCUCCCAGGAGGCAGCCCUGCCAGUGUCUCUGGAUCUGGCCUGGUGGGUGUUGCCUCUGCGAGCAGCAUCUCCCCUGCAUCCACCUGAGGGUCACCGUGGCUCCCUUAUAGGGCUGGACUCCUCCCCCUUCUCCCAUUCCCUGGCUGGGCUCCUCUUCCUUGGGACCUUCAUAGCUUGAUGAGAAGACAGUGCCCUCUCGGCCAGACCAGGACAUUAUUUGACAGUAGAGAAACUGGAGUGUAGACAAACACCAUGGAUGCUGUGUGGAAGAGUUGUUCCCAGCUGAAGAUGUCCCUCCUCAGUGAAGCCCUGCCUGAGCGCCUCCGGUCCUUCUCAGCAGCCAGAGGCUUCUCAGCACUUCUGCGUUCCCAUCUGGGUGGGAACUGCAUGGCCUGUUUAAGCACAAGGAGGGGGAGUGUGGGGAAGGGGGAGCAGAGUGAGUGGGGAGGCCAGAAAGGCAGGCACUGGUUCAUGUAGGGUGGUUGAUACAGUUUGGAUGUUUGUCCUCUCCAAAUCUCAUACUGAAAUGUGACCCUCAAUGCUGGAGGUGGGACCUGGUGGGAGGUGCUUGGGUGACAUGGGCCAAUCCCUCAUGAAUGGCCUGGUGCCCUCCCUGUGGUAAUGAAUUCCCAUGAGAUCUGAUUGUUAGAAAGAGCCUAGGUAGCUCCUCUCUCUUGCUCCAUCUGUCACUGUGGGACACCUCUGCUACCCUUCACCUCCCACCAGGAGGGGAAGCUUCCUGAGGCCCUGACCCCAAGCAGAUGCUGCUGCCAUGCCUCCGGUACUGCCUGCAGAACUGUGGACCAAAUAAACCUCUCUUCUUUAUAAACGGCCCAGUCUCCGGCAUUCUUUUAUGGUAACGCAAAACGUAUAAGCACAAUCUUGUGGAGAAACUUCCCUACCACAGCGGCCUUGGCAGUCGGUCCUGCUCCUGAUGAGGUGAUAGAGAACAGCACCUGAGAUGAUUAGAGGAGAGGGCCCUGACAUCCUCUGUGCCCUCUGCCCUAACAUCCUCUGUGCCCUCUGCCCUGGCAUCCUCUGUGCCCUCUGCCCCGACGUCCUCCGAGUCCUCUGCCCCAACGUCCCCCGUGCCCUCUGACCUUAUG
Molecule: long non-coding RNA, 1772 nt
Filed under: Pan paniscus (pygmy chimpanzee)
Lineage: Eukaryota; Metazoa; Chordata; Mammalia; Primates; Hominidae
Description: lncRNA (ENSPPAG00000045066.1)
Source: RNAcentral